This is a long non-coding RNA of Lemur catta (Ring-tailed lemur), 329 nucleotides long. RefSeq lists it as uncharacterized. The transcript is spliced from 3 exons. The record is from RefSeq and is a predicted model, not a curated record. Lineage: Eukaryota; Metazoa; Chordata; Mammalia; Primates; Lemuridae.
GGAAAAGUUUGAUUUCCGCCCGUGCCGAGGUCAGGCCGCACCCUUGAAGGCCCCGAAGCUCCCAAGUUAGGAAGUGUUCCAGCUCUUCCCACUUUGUCAAUUCCUCCUGCUGCUAAUGGCAUACGUCGCUUUUUUUCUUUCUUCUUUUAAAGCGAAGAGAAACGUUUCUGUUGCACACACAGACGUUACUGAAAGUGCUUGCCAGUAAAAGGUGUUUUCACAACUCUCAAACAGUAUGACCAGAGUGGUUGAGGGUGAUCACCUCGAUUUUUGCCAUGUUCCUGAGAGAAGUGGAAGCUGUCGGCUCAAGGUCUUGCUUUGUCACCCGG